This 459-nucleotide ribosomal RNA is filed under the name uncultured bacterium. RNAcentral's name for it is "partial 16S ribosomal RNA". It matches the Rfam family "Bacterial small subunit ribosomal RNA", at positions 338 to 795 of the family's 1533-position model. The record is from RNAcentral.
CCUACGGGUGGCAGCAGUGAGGAAUGUUGGUCAAUGGCCGAGAGGCUGAACCAGCCAAGUCGCGUGAGGGAUGACGGCCCUACGGGUUGUAAACCUCUUUUGUCGGGGAGCAAAGAGAGUCACGUGUGGCUCAUUGAGAGUACCCGAAGAAAAAGCAUCGGCUAACUCCGUGCCAGCAGCCGCGGUAAUACGGAGGAUGCGAGCGUUAUCCGGAUUUAUUGGGUUUAAAGGGUGCGCAGGCGGCGGUGAAAGUCAGUGGUCAAAUUGCGGGGCUCAACCCCGUACUGCCGUUGAAACUGCAGGCCUUGAGUGCGUGAGAGGUAUGCGGAAUGCGUGGUGUAGCGGUGAAAUGCAUAGAUAUCACGCAGAACUCCGAUUGCGAAGGCAGCAUACCGGCGCGUAACUGACGCUCAUGCACGAAAGCGUGGGUAUCGAACAGGAUUAGAUACCCGGGUAGUC